UGGGGAAUUUUGGACAAUGGGCGAAAGCCUGAUCCAGCAAUGCCGCGUGUAUGAAGAAGGCCUUCGGGUUGUAAAGCACUUUUGUCCGGAAAGAAAUCCUUGGCUCUAAUACAGUCGGGGGAUGACGGUACCGGAAGAAUAAGCACCGGCUAACUACGUGCCAGCAGCCGCGGUAAUACGUAGGGUGCAAGCGUUAAUCGGAAUUACUGGGCGUAAAGCGUGCGCAGGCGGUUUGCUAAGACCGAUGCGAAAUCCCCGGGCUNAACCUGGGAACUGCAUUGGUGACUGGCAGGCUAGAGUAUGGCAGAGGGGGGUAGAAUUCCACGUNUAGCAGUGAAAUGCGUAGAGAUGUGGAGGAAUACCGAUGGCGAAGGCAGCCCCUGGGCCAAUACUGACGCUCAUGCACGAAAGCGUGGGGAGCAAACAGGAUUAGAUACCCUGGUAGUCCACGCCCUAAACGAUGUCAACUAGGUUGUUGGGGAUUCAUUUCCUUAGUAACGUAGCU
RNAcentral lists this ribosomal RNA (505 nucleotides) under uncultured bacterium. RNAcentral's name for it is "partial 16S ribosomal RNA". It matches the Rfam family "Bacterial small subunit ribosomal RNA", at positions 355 to 853 of the family's 1533-position model. The record is from RNAcentral.